CAAAAAAUAGUUUAACUAGAAUACUAGCUUUGGGGGCUAGUGGUGGAGGUUAAAUUCCUCCUUUUUUGA
This 69-nucleotide transfer RNA is filed under the name Pennahia pawak (Pawak croaker). RNAcentral describes it as "tRNA-Pro". It matches the Rfam family "tRNA". Rfam says of the family: Transfer RNA (tRNA) molecules are approximately 80 nucleotides in length. The record is from RNAcentral. Lineage: Eukaryota; Metazoa; Chordata; Actinopteri; Sciaenidae.